This 1190-nucleotide ribosomal RNA is filed under the name uncultured bacterium. Its description in RNAcentral is "bacterial SSU rRNA". It matches the Rfam family "Bacterial small subunit ribosomal RNA", at positions 8 to 1201 of the family's 1533-position model. The record is from RNAcentral.
AGAGUUUGAUCCUGGCUCAGAAUCAAAAAAGGCGGCGUGCCUCAGACAUGCAAGUCGAACGCGAAAGUCCCCUUCGGGGGGCUAGUAGAGUGGCGCACGGGUGAGUAACACGUAGGUAAUCUACCUUUGGAUUGGGAAUAACAACCGGAAACGGUUGCUAAUACCGAAUAAUGCAGCGGCACCUAAUGGUGACAGUUGUUAAAGCGGGGGAUCGCAAGACCUCGCGUCUGAUGAGGAGCCUGCGGCAGAUUAGCUAGUUGGUAAGGUAACGGCUUACCAAGGCGAUGAUCUGUAGCCGGCCUGAGAGGGCGGUCGGCCACACUGACACUGACAUACGGGUCAGACUCCUACGGGAGGCUCCAGGCGGGAAUUUUGGGCAAUGGGAGAAAGCCUGACCCAGCAACGCCGCGUGAAGGAUGAAAUCCCUCGGGAUGUAAACUUCGCAAGAACAGGAAGAAUAAGUGAGAGUUAACACCUCUUACGAUGACAGCACUGUUUGUAAGCUCCGGCUAACUCCGUGCCACCAGCCGCGGUAAUACUGGGGGAGCAAGCGUUGUUCGGAUUUACUGGGCGUAGAGGGCGCGUAGGCGGCCACCGCAAGUCAAUUGUGAAAUCUCCGGGUUUAACUCGGAAAGGUCAAUCGAUACUGCGGGGCUAAAGUGCAUACAGGGCAACUGGAAUUCUCGCUUGUAACGAUGAAAUGCGUAGAUAUCGAGAGGAACACCUGCUGCAAAGGCCUUUUGCCUGGUCUGACACUGACCCUGAUAUGCGAAAGCUAGGGAAGCGAACGGCAUCAGGUUCCCCCGGUAGUCCUAGCCCUUAAACGAAGAAUAGCUUGGGGGCCCGGGGUUCUAUAGUCCCCGGGGGGCCGGCGCUACCGCUAUAAAUCACUCCCGCCGGCGAAAACCGUCACAAGAUUGAAACUCACCGAAAUGACGGGGAACCCGCAAAGCGGUGGGAACUGGUGGUUUAAUUUCGUUCCCACGGCGAAGAAACCUGACCUGGUGCUAGGAAUGGUCCCGUGACACGUCCCCCUAUAAAUGGGGAUUCUCUGGGAGUAAAAUCCAAAAUACGUGUCUAAGGGGUCUGGCUGGGCGUACCGUUGCGGCUCGAGUUCCUGGAAAGAGUUGGGCUAACAUUCUCCCCCACACUAAUGGGGCCUAACCCGUUAAACACAAUAAGUGGGAAUU